Molecule: long non-coding RNA, 3173 nt
Filed under: Anneissia japonica
Lineage: Eukaryota; Metazoa; Echinodermata; Crinoidea; Comatulida; Comatulidae
Description: uncharacterized LOC117112856
Source: RNAcentral
AAUGCUGUGGAUCCGUUGGACCAGAGGAUUGGCGUUUAUCUUGGUGGGUCCAGAACAAUGGCACGGGCGGUGUACCUUUAUCUUGUUGUAAUGACGAAGCAUGCUGGGAAGAUGGCUAUGAUUCAGAUAAAAUAUACCAAAGGGGUUGUGUGGAAGUGUUAUAUGGAUAUAUCUACAACUAUUUUACUGCUAUUGCCGGGGUUUGUUUUGGAGUGUUGGGUAUUGAGAUUUUCGCUAUGGUCUUAUCCUGCCUGUUACUUUUUGCUAUAAAAGAAAAGACAAAAAUAUGAUGUAUCGACUGCCGUGGAUCAUUGACUGCUGAAACGUUUGAUGAUUGUACCUAUUGUUUAAUCGACAUAUUCUAAAUAUAAAUUUGGUGUUUGGGAAAAAAAGCAUUUCUGUAGUACAGUUGUAAAUAAAACUAAUUUAUAUAGUGUUUUAGUACUAACAUUUUGAGUGAAAAACAGUAAAAUGAUCCAACCCAUAACCCAUAUACUAUUUAAUUGUCUUUAAUUAAGAACACAAUUUUAAUCAAUGUCGACCUUAGUUGACCUGAAAUGACCUAAAGGUUGAACACAUCAGGCUUCGAUUUCAAAAUACAAAUUUAAACAAAUAAUUGACCUGAGCCACAUAGGUGGUUGUGCAAAUAACUUUAAAUUAUUUAAUAGGCCUAUGCAGAACAGAAAACCUUAAAAAAAUCUGUUUAUGUCUGAUGUGAAAUAAUUUUGAGAAAAAAAUAACACAGUAUAAUUUAAAAAGUAUUUGGUUUUCCUACUUGCAGACUAGUCCAGGCCUAUUACUGUAUGAAGAACACGGUCACCAAGAGGAAAAACUGUAACAUUGGAAAGGGUUAGUGGGGCCCCUGUUACGAGCGCAAAGCGCGAGAAAGAUUGCGCCGAAGGUGCCAACAUUUUUUUUGAUCCUGUUAAUCUGGAGGAGCCCAUUAUUAGGGGUCCAUGGCAUUAUUGAGGGCCCAUGAUAAUAAUUAUUAUUUUUGAAAAAAAAAAUAUUGGAAAAAAAAAUGCUACCUGUUUUUAUGGCGCCCCUGGUAAGCUUGGGCCCGGAGAUCUUUCCCGCUGGCCGCCCCAACCCCUCUCUCGGUGGCCCUGAAAAAGAACAGUAAUAUGAUCCUCGAUGCUUCAUGCUAUUUUAGAAAUCCACAAUAAAGUGGUACGGAGAUUUACUAUAUCCCAUAUUAAAGGUAUACCACCUGUUACGUGCUAAAAAAGAACUCAAAAUUUAUGAGCUUUCAAAAUGAUAAAAAAAAACAACUUAUCGCCAAUAAUGGAUCUUACCUAUAGGCCUAUUAUUUGUAUUUGCAUACCGUAGGCCUAUUAUUUGUAUUUGCAUACCGUAGGCCUAUUAUUUGUAUUUGCAUACCGUAGAUCCUUAAAUAAGUUAGUAAUCAAUCUUGUAGUCGGAAUUAGCAAAAUCUGAAUUGCUACAAGUUUAAAUUUCAUGCAAUCCAUUAUAAUCAUUGGGAAAUUAGAAAUAAUUUUAGAUUCUGAUAACAAUUAAAACAGAGUAUAUUAAUUAUAUUAGUUGUAAUGUACUGUAUACGUAUUCGUACGAUUUUCAUAGCAAACAACAGUGUGCUGUAAAGAGGCGGUUGGAUAUCGCUUUGUACAUUUUUGAUAAGCAGCUCUCUGGAAUAAGCACCACAUUAUUACAAAGUGUCAUGCUUUUUCGUUAUCAUCCAUAAACUAUUUGUAUACGAACUGUAAAUAGGUCAUGAGGCGGAUGCAGGAUUUGGUGGUAGGGGUGCGUGGGAAUCCACCAUGGUUGGGGCUGAGUGUGAAAAUGUUGAGAAUUUGGACCCUAAGUUUCCCGAAAAUUGCACUCUCAUACUUUUAAAUCUUACGGGUACUAUAUAUUAAUAAAAUAAUAUUCAAUUAUUUUUUUAAUACAAUUUACGGGGUGCGAUCGCACGGUUGCACCCCCACCCCCAAAAAUCCGCCCCGGAGGCCUAAUACAUGUCAGAUACGCCAUUUACCACUUUAACACUCCAAUAUUUGUAGUAAGUGCUGAUCUUGAUAAGGUUACACUGUAGCAAGCCCUUGCACUAAGUCUGCAAAAAUUGUAUAAGGACCGCGGAACUAGUAGAUCAUUUACAGAAAAUGACAAUGUUGUGUAGGCGAUUAAAAUAUGGUAAUCAGACCGCCAUUAUACAUACUCUAGUUUUAGUACAGUAAUGGUAUAUUCGUCAGUCAAUAAGAGUGUUUCCUGUACAAUACCUGAAGCAAUUAUCACUGUGAGUACAACAGAAUACUACUAAAUACACGUCGUCUUACAAUGGCGGUAAAUAUUUAUUUGAGCAUUAAGAAGAUUCCGCUGGAAGAAGUACAUACAAAUACAAUUUAAAAAAUCGUACAAAAAAAGAAAAUAAACGCAUAUCAAGAAGUUAAACUUGCCUAAGUCGACUUUGCCGGACUCAAAUAAUUUCCCAAGUCGAUCAAUUUUCCAUGCCAAAUUGUUGUUUUCCAUUAAUUAAUGAUCUGCAGGUCGAAUUUUCAAUGCUAUUUUGGAUUCGAUUUAGGCAAGUUCAACUUACCACUUCCACGAAUGUCCAAUUACAAAUCAAACUACAGUAAGUGUACCAUCAAAACCCAUUAAAACCAACCCAGAGAGGUACAAUAUUAAUAAUAGUUGAUGUCGAUCCGCGAUCCUUGCACAUGCUGCCUUGCUGUGAAUACCAGACAAAAACGGACAAUGUGAAAUACAACAUGGUACAGUUUUUUUGAUUCAAUCAACAUUUAGGCAAGUUAAUGAACAUUACACCCAAAUUGAAAUGUUUUUGUAGCUGUAUACCAUGUGUUUAUUGACAUACUGAAUUAAAACCAGCACAAAUAUAAUGAGUGUACAUGAUAAUGAUUUUACAUUUGUAAUUUUCCCAGCGUCUCAAAAUUGAAAAGUAUUUCCAAAACGUAUUAUCAAUGUGGUCAGAAAUCAAGGUUGGUUUUGCCACAACUUCUGUUAAUAGGGAGCCUUCAAUUUGUUUGACAUGACGCUGGAACAGAAUCAUUCGUGCGUGACCGGCCUACGGGGUGUCCUACGUUCUCUGGGCAUUUUCAGACACUACUUGCGCUAGUGCAACGUUAAUCGAGUGGCGUGAAGGUGUGCACGAACGCCAGUAUUAUCGAGCAAUCACUGGUAAUCCAGCAACAGACACCAAA